CUUUACUGUAGCUUGGUAUUGGGUUCGGGCUUUGACUGCGCAGGAUAGGUGGGAGACUAUGAAGCUGCCCUUGUGGGGGCAGUGGAGUCAUCAGUGGGAUACCACUCUGUCAAGGCUAGAAUUCUAACCGUCUGCCGUUAUCCGGCGACGGAACAGUAUCAGGUGGGCAGUUUGACUGGGGCGGUCGCCUCCUAAAUGGUAACGGAGGCGCGCAAAGGUUCCCUCAGGCUGGUUGGAAAUCAGCCGAAGAGUGUAAAGGCAGAAGGGAGCUUGACUGCAAGAGCAACAACUCAAGCAGGGACGAAAGUCGGCCUUAGUGAUCCGACGGCGCUGAGUGGAAGGGCCGUCGCUCAACGGAUAAAAGUUA
Molecule: ribosomal RNA, 367 nt
Filed under: uncultured organism
Description: bacterial LSU rRNA
Rfam family: Bacterial large subunit ribosomal RNA
Source: RNAcentral